UUAGGAUUUGAUUAGGGUUUGGUUUAGGAUUUGGUUAGGGUUUGGUUUAGGAUUUAGGAUUUGGAUUAGGAUUUUGUUUAGGAUUUAGGAUUUGAAUAGGAUUUGAUUUAGGGUUUAGGGUUUGGUUAGGAUUUGGUUUAGAAUUUAGGAUUUGGUUUAGGAUUUGGUUUAGGAUUUGGUUUAGGAUUUGGUUAGGAUUUGGGAUUUGGAUUAGAAUUUGAUUAGAAUUUGAUUUAGGAUUUGAUUGGGGUUUGAUUUAGGAUUUAGGAUUUUAUUAGGAUUUAAGAUUCAAUUAGUUUUGGCCUAAAGUUUGAAUGAAGUUCAAUAGGAUUUUAACUAGAAUUAAAUUAAGAUUGAAUUGAGAUGUAUUUGAAUGACAUUUUUGUUCUUUCUAAUAUUUUAUUUAAAAAUUCUUAUUGUUUGUUUGAAAUUUCUUUGACAUUUUUUUGAAUUUGAUUAAGCUUGCUUAGUAUUAUUAUAGUCUAAUUAGAGCAUUGUUAGUAUUCUAUGAGAAUUAGGAUUUUUUUAUUGCAAUUUCUAUUCUUCCUUUGACAGCCCAGUGCCUGGAGCAUUCUCAAGGAAGACUUCACGUAUUA
This 596-nucleotide long non-coding RNA is filed under the name Physcomitrium patens. RNAcentral's name for it is "long non-coding RNA (PPAT_LNC012106)". The record is from RNAcentral. Lineage: Eukaryota; Viridiplantae; Streptophyta; Bryopsida; Funariales; Funariaceae.